This 478-nucleotide ribosomal RNA is filed under the name uncultured bacterium. RNAcentral describes it as "partial 16S ribosomal RNA". It matches the Rfam family "Bacterial small subunit ribosomal RNA", at positions 29 to 523 of the family's 1533-position model. The record is from RNAcentral.
AGUGAACGCUGGCGGCGUGCCUAACACAUGCAAGUCGAACGAUGAUGGCUGAGCUUGCCCAGCUUGAUUAGUGGCGCACGGGUGAGUAUACCAUAGAUAAUGUACCUCUUAGUUCGGGAUAGCCACUGGAAACGGUGAUUAAUACCGGAUACUCCUUCUUGUCAUAAGAUAAGUCGGGAAAGUUUUUUCGCUAAGAGAUCAGUCUAUGUCCUAUCAGGUAGUUGGUGAGGUAACGGCUCACCAAGCCUAUGACGGGUAUCUGGUUUGAGAGGAUGAUCAGACACACUGGAACUGAGACACGGUCCAGACUCCUACGGGAGGCAGCAGUGAGGAAUAUUGCACAAUGGAGGAAACUCUGAUGCAGCAACGCCGCGUGGAGGAUGACGCAUUUCGGUGUGUAAACUCCUUUUAAGAGGGAAGAUUAUGACGGUACCUCUUGAAUAAGCACCGGCUAACUCCGUGCCAGCCGCCGCGGUAA